UACGUAGGUGGCAAGCGUUAUCCGGAAUUAUUGGGCGUAAAGCGCGCGUAGGCGUUUUCUUAAGUCUGAUGUGAAAGCCCACGGCUCAACCGUGGAGGGUCAUUGGAAACUGGGAAACUUGAGUGCAGAAGAGGAAAGUGGAAUUCCAUGUGUAGCGGUGAAAUGCGCAGAGAUAUGGAGGAACACCAGUGGCGAAGGCGACUUUCUGGUCUGUAACUGACGCUGAUGUGCGAAAGCGUGGGGAUCAAACAGG
This 253-nucleotide ribosomal RNA is filed under the name uncultured bacterium. RNAcentral's name for it is "partial 16S ribosomal RNA". It matches the Rfam family "Bacterial small subunit ribosomal RNA", at positions 524 to 776 of the family's 1533-position model. The record is from RNAcentral.